Molecule: ribosomal RNA, 2921 nt
Filed under: Staphylococcus aureus VET0112R
Lineage: Bacteria; Bacillati; Bacillota; Bacilli; Caryophanales; Staphylococcaceae
Description: bacterial LSU rRNA
Rfam family: Bacterial large subunit ribosomal RNA
Source: RNAcentral
UUAAGUUAUUAAGGGCGCACGGUGGAUGCCUUGGCACUAGAAGCCGAUGAAGGACGUUACUAACGACGAUAUGCUUUGGGGAGCUGUAAGUAAGCUUUGAUCCAGAGAUUUCCGAAUGGGGAAACCCAGCAUGAGUUAUGUCAUGUUAUCGAUAUGUGAAUACAUAGCAUAUCAGAAGGCACACCCGGAGAACUGAAACAUCUUAGUACCCGGAGGAAGAGAAAGAAAAUUCGAUUCCCUUAGUAGCGGCGAGCGAAACGGGAAGAGCCCAAACCAACAAGCUUGCUUGUUGGGGUUGUAGGACACUCUAUACGGAGUUACAAAGGACGACAUUAGACGAAUCAUCUGGAAAGAUGAAUCAAAGAAGGUAAUAAUCCUGUAGUCGAUAAUGUUGUCUCUCUUGAGUGGAUCCUGAGUACGACGGAGCACGUGAAAUUCCGUCGGAAUCUGGGAGGACCAUCUCCUAAGGCUAAAUACUCUCUAGUGACCGAUAGUGAACCAGUACCGUGAGGGAAAGGUGAAAAGCACCCCGGAAGGGGAGUGAAACAGAACCUGAAACCGUGUGCUUACAAGUAGUCAGAGCCUGUUAAUGGGUGAUGGCGUGCCUUUUGUAGAAUGAACCGGCGAGUUACGAUUUGAUGCAAGGUUAAGCAGUAAAUGUGGAGCCGUAGCGAAAGCGAGUCUGAAUAGGGCGUUUAGUAUUUGGUCGUAGACCCGAAACCAGGUGAUCUACCCUUGGUCAGGUUGAAGUUCAGGUAACACUGAAUGGAGGACCGAACCGACUUACGUUGAAAAGUGAGCGGAUGAACUGAGGGUAGCGGAGAAAUUCCAAUCGAACCUGGAGAUAGCUGGUUCUCUCCGAAAUAGCUUUAGGGCUAGCCUCAAGUGAUGAUUAUUGGAGGUAGAGCACUGUUUGGACGAGGGGCCCCUCUCGGGUUACCGAAUUCAGACAAACUCCGAAUGCCAAUUAAUUUAACUUGGGAGUCAGAACAUGGGUGAUAAGGUCCGUGUUCGAAAGGGAAACAGCCCAGACCACCAGCUAAGGUCCCAAAAUAUAUGUUAAGUGGAAAAGGAUGUGGCGUUGCCCAGACAACUAGGAUGUUGGCUUAGAAGCAGCCAUCAUUUAAAGAGUGCGUAAUAGCUCACUAGUCGAGUGACACUGCGCCGAAAAUGUACCGGGGCUAAACAUAUUACCGAAGCUGUGGAUUGUCCUUUGGACAAUGGUAGGAGAGCGUUCUAAGGGCGUUGAAGCAUGAUCGUAAGGACAUGUGGAGCGCUUAGAAGUGAGAAUGCCGGUGUGAGUAGCGAAAGACGGGUGAGAAUCCCGUCCACCGAUUGACUAAGGUUUCCAGAGGAAGGCUCGUCCGCUCUGGGUUAGUCGGGUCCUAAGCUGAGGCCGACAGGCGUAGGCGAUGGAUAACAGGUUGAUAUUCCUGUACCACCUAUAAUCGUUUUAAUCGAUGGGGGGACGCAGUAGGAUAGGCGAAGCGUGCGAUUGGAUUGCACGUCUAAGCAGUAAGGCUGAGUAUUAGGCAAAUCCGGUACUCGUUAAGGCUGAGCUGUGAUGGGGAGAAGACAUUGUGUCUUCGAGUCGUUGAUUUCACACUGCCGAGAAAAGCCUCUAGAUAGAAAAUAGGUGCCCGUACCGCAAACCGACACAGGUAGUCAAGAUGAGAAUUCUAAGGUGAGCGAGCGAACUCUCGUUAAGGAACUCGGCAAAAUGACCCCGUAACUUCGGGAGAAGGGGUGCUCUUUAGGGUUAACGCCCAGAAGAGCCGCAGUGAAUAGGCCCAAGCGACUGUUUAUCAAAAACACAGGUCUCUGCUAAACCGUAAGGUGAUGUAUAGGGGCUGACGCCUGCCCGGUGCUGGAAGGUUAAGAGGAGUGGUUAGCUUCUGCGAAGCUACGAAUCGAAGCCCCAGUAAACGGCGGCCGUAACUAUAACGGUCCUAAGGUAGCGAAAUUCCUUGUCGGGUAAGUUCCGACCCGCACGAAAGGCGUAACGAUUUGGGCACUGUCUCAACGAGAGACUCGGUGAAAUCAUAGUACCUGUGAAGAUGCAGGUUACCCGCGACAGGACGGAAAGACCCCGUGGAGCUUUACUGUAGCCUGAUAUUGAAAUUCGGCACAGCUUGUACAGGAUAGGUAGGAGCCUUUGAAACGUGAGCGCUAGCUUACGUGGAGGCGCUGGUGGGAUACUACCCUAGCUGUGUUGGCUUUCUAACCCGCACCACUUAUCGUGGUGGGAGACAGUGUCAGGCGGGCAGUUUGACUGGGGCGGUCGCCUCCUAAAAGGUAACGGAGGCGCUCAAAGGUUCCCUCAGAAUGGUUGGAAAUCAUUCAUAGAGUGUAAAGGCAUAAGGGAGCUUGACUGCGAGACCUACAAGUCGAGCAGGGUCGAAAGACGGACUUAGUGAUCCGGUGGUUCCGCAUGGAAGGGCCAUCGCUCAACGGAUAAAAGCUACCCCGGGGAUAACAGGCUUAUCUCCCCCAAGAGUUCACAUCGACGGGGAGGUUUGGCACCUCGAUGUCGGCUCAUCGCAUCCUGGGGCUGUAGUCGGUCCCAAGGGUUGGGCUGUUCGCCCAUUAAAGCGGUACGCGAGCUGGGUUCAGAACGUCGUGAGACAGUUCGGUCCCUAUCCGUCGUGGGCGUAGGAAAUUUGAGAGGAGCUGUCCUUAGUACGAGAGGACCGGGAUGGACAUACCUCUGGUGUACCAGUUGUCGUGCCAACGGCAUAGCUGGGUAGCUAUGUGUGGACGGGAUAAGUGCUGAAAGCAUCUAAGCAUGAAGCCCCCCUCAAGAUGAGAUUUCCCAACUUCGGUUAUAAGAUCCCUCAAAGAUGAUGAGGUUAAUAGGUUCGAGGUGGAAGCAUGGUGACAUGUGGAGCUGACGAAUACUAAUCGAUCGAAGACUUAAUCAA